GGGAAUAUUGGACAAUGGGCGAAAGCCUGAUCCAGCAAUGCCGCGUGUGUGAAGAAGGUCUUCGGAUUGUAAAGCACUUUCGACGGGGACGAUGAUGACGGUACCCGUAGAAGAAGCCCCGGCUAACUACGUGCCAU
Molecule: ribosomal RNA, 137 nt
Filed under: uncultured bacterium
Lineage: Bacteria
Description: partial 16S ribosomal RNA
Rfam family: Bacterial small subunit ribosomal RNA
Source: RNAcentral